Molecule: long non-coding RNA, 587 nt
Organism: Cynara cardunculus var. scolymus (artichoke)
Lineage: Eukaryota; Viridiplantae; Streptophyta; Magnoliopsida; Asterales; Asteraceae
Exons: 2
Source: RefSeq, a predicted model, not a curated record
UGACACCCAGGUCCGAACCCCAACUCCCAAACCGAACCCACUGCUCGAUCUCACGUCCUAAGAGUUUCGUGUGGAUCGUCUCCUCCAUUAUCCCUCCUGCAAUCACGCUCUUCGUCUAAUAUCAUCUCUCUCUAUCUCUCUGUGGGGUGGAUAAUCAACGCCAUCAUCUUUUAUCGCGGUCCGUUGAGUUAGGCGCCAUUUUUCUCUCGAUUCUGGUCCCGUGUUCGAAUCGUUACCUGAAAGUAAAAGCUAAAAGCUAAGAAAAUGAUACAAAUGGAAUUCAAACCCGUGCUUGGGAGGGGAGAAAAGAUCGUGCAAACCAACUCCACCAAGAGAAACUUGUGUUAUUAUUGAUUUAUUGUAGUUUCAAGGAAUAUACGAUUGCACCCAACAACAAAAUAAUACGGUGCACCUUCCACGGCCCUAAAACAUUUUACACUAUGAUGAAGGAACGAAGCAAUGGCCCAUGCCACCGUAUGCACCUAGUGGGUCCGCCCUAGUUUGUGUGUGCCUAAACGCUAUCUUCUAGACCUUUUUGGAUUUUGUGUUCUAUAUUGCUCCGCCUUAAAAGCGAACCCUGCCACAAA